This 26-nucleotide small RNA is filed under the name Bombyx mori (domestic silkworm). RNAcentral's name for it is "ovarian small RNA-18216". The record is from RNAcentral. Lineage: Eukaryota; Metazoa; Arthropoda; Insecta; Lepidoptera; Bombycidae.
UAAACUCGACACACCUCGGAGAUUGA